This 526-nucleotide long non-coding RNA is filed under the name Calidris pygmaea (Spoon-billed sandpiper). RNAcentral's name for it is "lncRNA (ENSCPGG00000017404.1)". Lineage: Eukaryota; Metazoa; Chordata; Aves; Charadriiformes; Scolopacidae. The record is from RNAcentral.
CCUAGCUCAAAUAGAAAUGUGAUCAUUUGGGUGAGAAUAUUUUCGUCCGUUGUCUGAAGAUCGUGUCUGAACAGAGCACGGGAAAGAGGAAGCCAGCUGUCAUUUCAACAGGCGUCUUCCAAGAGGAGUGCAGUGCAAUGCUUCCUGAAAGAAGGCUGGCUGACACAGAAGGAAAAUUGCAUGGGCUGUCAAAGAGGGUACAACAUGAAUAUGUGACGUUGGAUGAUGUCAAACAUGCUGCACUGCUUUUGAAAGAAGCAAAUGAGUCACAUCCCAUGCUAUCAUUUGCAGCAGUUUCAAGGAAUGAGAUAAUAGACGAGUUCCUCAUGGCCCUGCUCUUCUACCUAUCUUUUUACCUCGAAAAGCUCGCCCUGGAAAAGAAACACAGAUCCUUGAUUUCGUGAGUACAAGUCUUUAGGGGUAUAAGUGCACAGAGCUUGCCCGAGCAAAUCUGGAAUCAGUCACCAAAUAAUUUGGCUUCUCAAGGUAAUGCUGCAAUUUGAAUAAAUCGUUACUGCUACCACCA